Molecule: ribosomal RNA, 548 nt
Filed under: uncultured bacterium
Lineage: Bacteria
Description: bacterial SSU rRNA
Rfam family: Bacterial small subunit ribosomal RNA
Source: RNAcentral
ACGGAAUAGAUACCCAGGUAGUCCACGCCCUAAACGAUGUCUACUAGUUGUUGGUGGAGUAAAAUCCAUGAGUAAACGCAGCUAAACGCGUGAAGUAGACCGCCUGGGGAGUACGGUCGCAAGAUUAAAACUCAAAUGAAUUGACGGGGGCCCGCACAAGCGGUGGAUUAUGUGGAUUAAUUCGAUGCAACGCGAAAACCUUACCUGGCCUUGACAUGUAACGAACUUUCCAGAGAUGGAUUGGUGCUCGAAAGAGAACGUUAACACAGGUGCUGCAUGGCUGUCGUCAGCUCGUGUCGUGAGAUGUUGGGUUAAGUCCCGCAACGGGCGCAACCCUUGCCAUUAAUUGCCAUCAUUUAGUUGGGCACUUUAAUGGGACUGCCGGUGACAAACCGGAGGAAGGUGGGGAUGACGUCAAGUCCUCAUGGCCCUUAUGGCCAGGGCUUCACACGUAAUACAAUGGUCGGUACAGAGGGUUGCCAACCCGCGAGGGGAGCCAAUCCCAGAAAGCCGAUCGUAGUCCGGAUUGUAGUCUGCAACUCGACUAC